UGGGGAAUCUUGGACAAUGGGCGCAAGCCUGAUCCAGCCAUGCCGCGUGAGUGAAGAAGGCCUUAGGGUUGUAAAACUCUUUCGCCGGUGAAGAUAAUGACGGUAACCGGAGAAGAAGCCCCGGCUAACUUCGUGCCAGCCAGCCGCCGGUAAUACGAAGGGGCGUAGCGUUGUUCGGAAUUACUGGGCGUAAAGCGCACGUAGGCGGGUUUGUAAGUAGGGGUGAAAUCCCAGGGCUCGAACCCACUGGAACUGCCUUCUAAACUGCAAGCCUGGAGGUCAGGAGAGGCGAGUGGAAUACCGAGUGUAGAGGUGAAAUUCGUAGAUAUUCGGUGGAACACCAGUGGCGAAGGCGACUCGCUUGGACUGAUACUGACGCUGAGGUGCGAAAGCGUGGGGAGCAAACA
Molecule: ribosomal RNA, 407 nt
Filed under: uncultured Alphaproteobacteria bacterium
Lineage: Bacteria; Pseudomonadati; Pseudomonadota; Alphaproteobacteria
Description: bacterial SSU rRNA
Rfam family: Bacterial small subunit ribosomal RNA
Source: RNAcentral